CCUACGGGAGGCAGCAGUGAGGAAUAUUGGACAAUGGGUGAGAGCCUGAUCCAGCCAUCCCGCGUGAAGGACGACGGUUCUAUGGAUUGUAAACUUCUUUUAUAUAGGGAUAAACCUACUUACGUGUAAGUAGCUGAAGGUACUAUAUGAAUAAGCACCGGCUAACUCCGUGCCAGCAGCCGCGGUAAU
RNAcentral lists this ribosomal RNA (189 nucleotides) under uncultured Chryseobacterium sp. Its description in RNAcentral is "partial 16S ribosomal RNA". It matches the Rfam family "Bacterial small subunit ribosomal RNA", at positions 338 to 524 of the family's 1533-position model. Lineage: Bacteria; Pseudomonadati; Bacteroidota; Flavobacteriia; Flavobacteriales; Weeksellaceae. The record is from RNAcentral.